RNAcentral lists this non-coding RNA (29 nucleotides) under Mus musculus (house mouse). The record is from RNAcentral. Lineage: Eukaryota; Metazoa; Chordata; Mammalia; Rodentia; Muridae.
UCUUUUGUUAUGGGCCACCGCUCUUGCCA